This 440-nucleotide ribosomal RNA is filed under the name uncultured bacterium. RNAcentral describes it as "partial 16S ribosomal RNA". It matches the Rfam family "Bacterial small subunit ribosomal RNA", at positions 338 to 795 of the family's 1533-position model. The record is from RNAcentral.
CCUACGGGAGGCAGCAGUGGGGGAUAUUGCACAAUGGGGGAAACCCUGAUGCAGCGACGCCGCGUGCGUGAAGAAGUAUUUCGGUAUGUAAAGCUCUAUCAGCCGGGAAGAACAUGACAGUACCUGACCAAGAAGCCCCGGCUAACUACGUGCCAGCAGCCGCGGUAAUACGGAGGGGGCAAGCGUUAUCCGGAUUUACUGGGUGUAAAGGGAGCGUAGACGGUUAGGCAAGACUGGCGUGAAAGCCCGGGGCUGAACCCGGGGACUGCUUUGGAAACUGGGUAGCUGGAGUACAGGAGGGGCAGGCGGAAUUCCUGGUGUAGCGGUGAAAUGCGUAGAGAUGAGGAGGAACACCGGCGGCGAAGGCGGCCUGCUGGACUGAAACUGACGUUGAGGCGCGAAAGCGUGGGGAGCAAACAGGAUUAGAUACCCGAGUAGUC